UGGGGAAUAUUGGGCAAUGGGCGAAAGCCUGACCCAGCAACGCCGCGUGAGGGAAGAAGGUUUUCGGAUUGUAAACCUCUGUCCUUGGGGACGAAGAAAGUGACGGUACCCAAGGAGGAAGCCCCGGCUAACUACGUGCCAGCAGCCGCGGUAAUACGUAGGGGGCGAGCGUUGUCCGGAAUUACUGGGCGUAAAGGGUGCGUAGGCGGCUUAAUAAGUCAGAUGUGAAACCCCGGGGCUUAACUCCGGAAUGGCAUUUGAAACUGUUGAGCUUGAGUGCAGGAGAGGAAAGCGGAAUUCCUAGUGUAGCGGUGAAAUGCGUAGAUAUUAGGAGGAACACCAGUGGCGAAGGCGGCUUUCUGGACUGUAACUGACGCUGAGGCGCGAAAGCGUGGGGAGCAAACA
RNAcentral lists this ribosomal RNA (405 nucleotides) under uncultured prokaryote. RNAcentral's name for it is "bacterial SSU rRNA". It matches the Rfam family "Bacterial small subunit ribosomal RNA", at positions 355 to 774 of the family's 1533-position model. The record is from RNAcentral.